Long non-coding RNA from Lolium rigidum, 295 nucleotides. RefSeq lists it as uncharacterized. Lineage: Eukaryota; Viridiplantae; Streptophyta; Magnoliopsida; Poales; Poaceae. The record is from RefSeq and is a predicted model, not a curated record. The transcript has 3 exons.
AGAUCUGCGCCGCCAGCCUCGCUCCCUGCUGGGCUAUGUCCUCACCUCCGAAACUGAUUACAGACGCAGAUUUGGAAAUUCCCACUUCGGCUGUAGGAUCCAGGUAGCCUGGCAUUCAGCUCGGCAUCAUCAGCGGAAGGCGUGGUGGGAUUGUUAGUGCUCCCUGCUGCUGAACUCGCCGGCUGCCCAACUGUUGACCUGCCUACUCGAAUGCGUCGGGACGAUCCAGGCCAUUUGUAACAGGAUGCAAUCUGACCAGAUCAGGUUUAGGCUAGCAUUUGCUUUCAACAUGUUU